UUCCUUCUUCAUGAUUUUUGUUUUUACCACAAGUUUUUCCCCCUGUUUUUUUUAAUUCUCUAUCAGCUGUCUAAGGAAUAACAGAAAAAGCUUUGUUGUUAAGAAGUUAUUAAAGCAAGCAAAAAUACUAUAAUAGAUGCGGCAAUUAUAAUCUACCAAACCUAAAAAAAGAAUACUAAUACAUGACAUAUGAUUCACUUCCCAUAAAACUUAAACAAAUUUCCUUUUUUCUUCGCCAAACAGUACCUAUCACUUACAACUAACAAAAACUCAAAAGCUGUUUCUAGGAAAAUUAGCAGAAGAACUAAAAUUUUUGAGAAUGAGCAGAAGGAACAACUAAAACAACAAUGUUUCAGAACAUUGUUUACGUACUUGACUUAAUCCUCCAUUUGGAUGCAUGCAAAUUGCAAAAUAAAUCACCCCACACACCCCCCCCCCCCCCCACCAAAAAAAAGAAAUGAAAAAUAAUAUUAUCUUCUUGAUUGAGUAUCUUUCCCCUCCACCCACCAACAGGAAAGAAAGAAAAUAUACUAUCUUCUUGAUUAACCCUUUUCCCCUGAUUGUUUUGUGAAGUCAUAAGUUUUCAUGUCCCAAAAGAGUUGGCAUUGCCAUUGUAAACAAUCAAAAUAGGCCAAGCUCGCUCACCCAAACGAAGAAAAUUGUAGCUUGUAACUUUGGGCGGCAAUCAGUUGACUCAAAACAGAAGAAAUUUGAAAUUAUCACAACCAGCGUGAUGCGGCAGCAAAGGAUUCCCCAAAAUUUAAAUUUUAAAAGUUGAAUUGAAAAGGAGUCGCUAUUGGUCAUGUUGGAAGCAGGAUCAAAUGAUAGAAUCAAACAUUGUUUUAUAUCAGAAAUUCGGAGUCCAAAAAUGUAUAAGAUAGGAAAGUGAGAAGCACUUACUAUCUGGUGUGGGCUAAUUAUGUAAAAUAUCUUAGGUUGUACGUGUUAUUAAUUUCCUAUCUCAAGUUCAGGGUGCUAUAACUGCAGUGAUUGGAAUGUGGUGGUCAACAGGAAUUUGCAGGAUUGGAAAGUGGAUGAAUACGAGACUCUGCUACAGCUUUUGGCUACUAUCCACCUCAGCAAUCAAGAUGAUAAGUUAAUAUGGAAAUUGAAAAAAAAUGAUAUCUUCUCUAUAAAAUCUUUCUAACAGCCACCUGGAUGGGCACAGAAGAUUUGAUUGUACGGAUUUCCCUAUAAAACUGAUUUGGAAGGUCCAUGCUCCAUCUAGAAUUUCUUUUUUUGCUUGGGAAGCUGUGAAAGAAAGCAUAUUGAUUAUCGACAAUCUCAUGAAAAGCGGUAUAACAAUGGCCAACAGAUGUUUCCUUAGCAAAAAUAGUGUGGAAUCCAGCAACCACAUAUUGUUUCCAUGUCCUGUCACUUACAAUCUCUGGUCACUGGUCUAUGGGCUCAUGGGUAUCUGCUGGUCUAUGGCUGGGUCUGUUAAGAGUGAGUUACUGGCUUGGGCGGGACUGUGUAAUCGGAACAAAUGCUACAGAUUAAUCCCCACUAACCAUUUUCUGGGUUAUUUGAAAAGAAAGAAACACUAGGGGUUUUGAAGGGAAAUAAGAUAAUUUUGUUAGGACAUAAUCUUGAUAGCUUGGAUGAUUUUUGCUCCAUUAUAAAUAUGCUUAUUGACUUUUAAAUUUUUGUACAUGGAUAGCGCCAAAGGUUUCAUCUUAUACUUCUAUUUCAGAAAAAAAAAAAAAAAAAAAAUUUCCUAUCUAAAGUUCGAGUGUGUAUAUGUGAUAUCUAUAAUUAAAUAAAGGUCUAAAUUCAAUCCUUUACAAGACAUAUUGGGGUAGAAUAAAUCAAAUAUGUAAAAUAUAAAAUGUGAAAAAGGGAUGUAUUCUUUACUUCAUUGCAUGCUCUUUUCGAGCAGUGUUUCCCUGCUCUCUUCUAAGUAAAUCAAAAUACCUCACAGAACACAAGUCAUGAUAACUUUCGAAAAAAUGAAAUAAAUAACCAGAUGAAGGAAGAACUAAUAACACCACAACAAAGACAGUAUAGAACUAUGUAAUGGAAGGGCCGUUAUGGGAAAACACUGAACUAAGCUAGCUUUGGAGUUUCAAUGGACAAUUAAUACGCAUGUGAAACAGAAGGAGGACGAAAUUCAAACCAAGCACUAACUUAAAACAUAGAGCACUUCUAUUUUAGGACCUAAUCAGUUUAUAUCAACUAUUUAAUCUUGAAUUCCCUAGCAAGAAAAAAAUAAACACCAAAUGGAACAAUGACUGGCUAUCACUACCCACAUCAGCCUGCAGAGAGGAAAAAAAAAAAGAUUUAUGUCUACAUAUAUACUAUAAACAUAUAUAUAUAUAUAUAUAAACAUAUAUACAUAUUGGCUCAUCUAUCCCAUGCCGGAACAGUUCCCGAAAUCAUCAAGAAUCUAAACGUCUCCCAAGCUUAAAACGACAAUUCCUCAUGCAAACAAAACCUAAACUAGCAGUAAGGCGGGUAAAUGUUAGAGAACUGAGAAACGUAAAGAACCAAAACUUCAACUUCGUCUUCUUAAUAUAGGUCCAGUAGCCUCACAGUACCAAAAGAGAGUAACUAAGCACAAAUGCAAGGUAAAACCAGGGAUGAAGUAACAAUAUUCAAGUUACUCAAUCAAACGAGUCAAAUACAAUAAUUGGAGAAUGAAUUCAAUUUUUAAAGAAAACUAAAAGAGAAGAUUACAUGAAAAAUUACCCAAAUAGACUCUCCACUGACAGAUCCGCCUUUCAAUUCGAGCCCUGGCCCCCCCUAUUUCUUCGUUUCUUCUCCAAAACCAACGUGGUCCCGCGUUGGCGAACGUUCGCAAACGAGCUGCCCUGCUUCUGUCCCGGCUCUACAGAGUUUGGGGUAUAACAGAAAUUUACAAGAGUAUACUGUUAAGGGGAGCGUGGUUGUUUGGAGAAAAGAGAAAGGGAAGGGGACAGAUUCCACUGGUGCAGCUGUCGCUUCAAUCCCAACCUUUUUCCUCGUUCGUUGGAGAAGGGCCCAAAAUAU
This 2988-nucleotide long non-coding RNA is filed under the name Carica papaya (papaya). RNAcentral's name for it is "long non-coding RNA (CPAP_LNC015689)". The record is from RNAcentral. Lineage: Eukaryota; Viridiplantae; Streptophyta; Magnoliopsida; Brassicales; Caricaceae.